RNAcentral lists this ribosomal RNA (253 nucleotides) under uncultured prokaryote. Its description in RNAcentral is "partial 16S ribosomal RNA". It matches the Rfam family "Bacterial small subunit ribosomal RNA", at positions 524 to 776 of the family's 1533-position model. The record is from RNAcentral.
UACAGAGGGGGCAAGCGUUGUUCGGAAUUACUGGGCGUAAAGGGCGCGUAGGCGGCCCGCUAAGUCGAACGUGAAAUCCCCGGGCUCAACCCGGGAACUGCGUCCGAUACUGGCAGGCUUGAAUCCGGGAGAGGGAUGCGGAAUUCCAGGUGUAGCGGUGAAAUGCGUAGAUAUCUGGAGGAACACCGGUGGCGAAGGCGGCAUCCUGGACAGAAACUGACGCUGAGGCACGAAAGCUAGGGGAGCAAACAGG